RNAcentral lists this ribosomal RNA (253 nucleotides) under uncultured bacterium. RNAcentral's name for it is "partial 16S ribosomal RNA". It matches the Rfam family "Bacterial small subunit ribosomal RNA", at positions 524 to 776 of the family's 1533-position model. The record is from RNAcentral.
UACGUAGGGUGCGAGCGUUGCCCGGAUUUAUUGGGCGUAAAGGGCGCGUAGGCGGCCACGCACGUCCGUUGUGAAAUCGCCCGGCUCAACUGGGCGGGGUCAGCGGAUACGGUGUGGCUCGAGCAAGCUAGGGGGCAAUGGAAUUCCCGGUGUAGUGGUGGAAUGCGUAGAUAUCGGGAGGAAUACCUAUGGCGAAGGCAGGUUACUGGGCCAUCACUGACGCUGAGCUGCGAAAGCUAGGGGAGCAAACAGG